AGCUACAAAAUUUGAUCAAUCUGGUUACUGGGCAGACUGGUCAUGUGAUAUAAGGAAGCCCUUUAUCUGCCACCAUGACUCUGUGCCUUUCACAAAGCAAGUGGUGAAAGUGAAGCUGGUGGGAAACUCUGCUCUGGAUCUGAAUGACCCUGCUGUCCUGAAAAACCUGCAGGAGGAGCUCAAACAGAAGGUGAGGGAGAAUGGCGUGGAUGCAGAAAUAAGGCUGAGCUGGAAGAAACGAGUGGAUGGAAAGAUCUUCUACCAGGAGAAGGAGGAGGAGGACCAAAAGUGACACGAAGACAUGU
Long non-coding RNA from Fundulus heteroclitus (mummichog), 305 nucleotides. RefSeq lists it as uncharacterized. NCBI's taxonomy places the organism in Eukaryota, Metazoa, Chordata, Actinopteri, Cyprinodontiformes, Fundulidae. The record is from RefSeq and is a predicted model, not a curated record. The transcript is spliced from 3 exons.